AGUGGCAGACGGGUGAGUAAUGCAUAGGAAUCUACCUAGUAGUAUAGGAUAGCCACUAGAAAUGGUGGGUAAUACUGUAUAAUCCCUGCGGGGGAAAGAUUUAUCGCUACAUGAUGAGCCUAUGUUAGAUUAGCUAGUUGGUAGGGUAAAGGCCUACCAAGGCGAUGAUCUAUAGCUGGUCUGAGAGGAUGAUCAGCCACACUGGAACUGAGAUACGGUCCAGACUCCUACGGGAGGCAGCAGUGGGGAAUAUUGGACAAUGGGCGCAAGCCUGAUCCAGCUAUGCCGCGUGAGUGAGGAAGGCCUUAGGGUUGUAAAACUCUUUCAGUAGGGAAGAUAAUGACGGUACCUA
RNAcentral lists this ribosomal RNA (352 nucleotides) under Anaplasma phagocytophilum. RNAcentral describes it as "bacterial SSU rRNA". It matches the Rfam family "Bacterial small subunit ribosomal RNA", at positions 94 to 481 of the family's 1533-position model. Lineage: Bacteria; Pseudomonadati; Pseudomonadota; Alphaproteobacteria; Rickettsiales; Anaplasmataceae. The record is from RNAcentral.